Molecule: Y RNA, 98 nt
Filed under: Cavia aperea (Brazilian guinea pig)
Lineage: Eukaryota; Metazoa; Chordata; Mammalia; Rodentia; Caviidae
Description: Y RNA (ENSCAPG00000004528.1)
Rfam family: Y RNA
About the family: Y RNAs are components of the Ro ribonucleoprotein particle (Ro RNP), in association with Ro60 and La proteins. The Y RNAs and Ro60 and La proteins are well conserved, but the function of the Ro RNP is not known.
Source: RNAcentral
GGCUGGUCCGAUUACAGUGGGUUAUCAGAACUUAUUAACAUUAGUGUCACUAAAGUUGGUAUACCACCACCACCACUGCUAAAUUUGACUGGCUUCAA